AUUGAACGCUGGCGGAAUGCUUUACACAUGCAAGUCGAACGGUAGAGGGGGCAACCCCUUGAGAGUGGCGAACGGGUGAGUAAUAUAUCGGAACGUGCCCAGUCGUGGGGAUAACGUAGCGAAAGUUACGCUAAUACCGCAUACGAUCUAAGGAUGAAAGCGGGGGAUCGCAAGACCUCGCGCGAUUGGAGCGGCCGAUAUCAGAUUAGGUAGUUGGUGAGGUAAAGGCUCACCAAGCCAACGAUCUGUAGCUGGUCUGAGAGGACGACCAGCCACACUGGAACUGAGACACGGUCCAGACUCCUACGGGAGGCAGCAGUGGGGAAUUUUGGACAAUGGACGCAAGUCUGAUCCAGCCAUUCCGCGUGCAGGAUGAAGGGCCCUCGGGUUGUAAACUGCUUUUUGUACGGAACGAAAAGGUUUCUAUUAAUACUAGGAGCUCAUGACGGUACCGUAAGAAUAAGCACCGGCUAACUACGUGACCAGCAGCCGCGGUAAAGUG
Molecule: ribosomal RNA, 502 nt
Filed under: uncultured bacterium
Lineage: Bacteria
Description: bacterial SSU rRNA
Rfam family: Bacterial small subunit ribosomal RNA
Source: RNAcentral